AGUACCUCAUGAGUGGUGGAAUUCAAACAGAAGCUUUCCUGUUCUUUAGGCCAUGCACUGAAAAUUCCGGAGGGUAUGCCUAGAGGUGCUGGACUUCACCACAUUCUCUCUGCUCACCUCAACGGAACAGGCAGCAAGUUCAUUGCAGCUGCUCUGGAUGCCUGUCAGAAGGACUUACGGACAUUUACAAAGGAAGAACACAGUGUCACAACAACGGCAAGGACACAGGUAUCACCCUGGCAUUAGUUAGUCCCUCGUUGCCCCAGGGACGCUGCGGUUGAGUGGCACAUCAUUGCAGUGGCAGACAAACCAUUUAGAAGCAAGCAUUUUGUUCUGAAGAAGAUGCCUGAGGGUUUCCAAACUGACUGUGAAGCUGUGGUAUGCAGUUCUGCCUCCGGUACAUCUCUGUUUCUUUAAAGUGGACACCACCUUCCACUUCCUCACCUGAUCUGAACAGGACUCUAGGAGACCUGAUGACUGUGUUUCCACAAGCAAGGAGAAGACUCUCUGAAGACAGCCAAGCCACGCCAUUGUGUUGUAGACUAUUCUGUAAAGAAGACAGCACUAAUGCCAAAGUACCGCAAGCAGACUAAACAGAAUAAUAGCAAGUAUGUCACACCAACCCUGUGGUAUCUUUAUAUUAUGGGGAAAAGAGCAAGUCACAGAUGGUUCUGGUCACCACCCCAAGAUCAGUCAUUGGG
Long non-coding RNA from Manis pentadactyla (Chinese pangolin), 701 nucleotides. RefSeq lists it as uncharacterized. The transcript is spliced from 3 exons. The record is from RefSeq and is a predicted model, not a curated record. NCBI's taxonomy places the organism in Eukaryota, Metazoa, Chordata, Mammalia, Pholidota, Manidae.